GCAUUAAUGGGGUAGUGGUAACCUGGGUCGUUGCCAUGUGCGAACUUAGUUCGACCCGCCGGGGGUUCGAUUCCCCCUUAAUGCA
This is a non-coding RNA of Steccherinum ochraceum, 85 nucleotides long. NCBI's taxonomy places the organism in Eukaryota, Fungi, Basidiomycota, Agaricomycetes, Polyporales, Steccherinaceae. The record is from the annotation of a GenBank genome assembly.